RNAcentral lists this ribosomal RNA (424 nucleotides) under uncultured bacterium. RNAcentral's name for it is "partial 16S ribosomal RNA". It matches the Rfam family "Bacterial small subunit ribosomal RNA", at positions 360 to 776 of the family's 1533-position model. The record is from RNAcentral.
AAUAUUGGACAAUGGGCGAAAGCCUGAUCCAGCCAUGCCGCGUGUGUGAAGAAGGUCUUCGGAUUGUAAAACACUUUAAGUGGGGAGGAAGGGCAGUAAGCUAAUACCUUGCUGUUUUGACGUUACCGACAGAAUAAGCACCGGCUAACUCUGUGCCAGCAGCCGCGGUAAUACAGAGGGUGCAAGCGUUAAUCGGAAUUACUGGGCGUAAAGCGCGCGUAGUGGGUUCGUUAAGUUGGAAGUGAAAGCCCCGGGCUUAACCUGGGAAUUGCUUACAAAACUGACGAGCUAGAGUACGGUAGAGGGUAGUGGAAUUUCCUGUUUAGCGGUGAAAUGCGUAGAUAUAGGAAGGAGCAUCAGUGGCGAAGGCGACUACCUGGACUGAUACUGACACUGAGGUGCGAAAGCAUGGGGAGCAAACAGG